Molecule: ribosomal RNA, 465 nt
Filed under: uncultured bacterium
Lineage: Bacteria
Description: partial 16S ribosomal RNA
Rfam family: Bacterial small subunit ribosomal RNA
Source: RNAcentral
GAUGAACGCUGGCGGCGUGCUUAACACAUGCAAGUCGAACGAUGAAGCCCAGCUUGCUGGGUGGAUUAGUGGCGAACGGGUGAGUAACACGUGAGUAACCUGCCCUUAACUCUGGGAUAAGCCUGGGAAACUGGGUCUAAUACCGGAUAGGAGCGUCCACCGCAUGGUGGGUGUUGGAAAGAUUUAUCGGUUUUGGAUGGACUCGCGGCCUAUCAGCUUGUUGGUGAGGUAAUGGCUCACCAAGGCGACGACGGGUAGCCGGCCUGAGAGGGUGACCGGCCACACUGGGACUGAGACACGGCCCAGACUCCUACGGGAGGCAGCAGUGGGGAAUAUUGCACAAUGGGCGCAAGCCUGAUGCAGCGACGCCGCGUGAGGGAUGACGGCCUUCGGGUUGUAAACCUCUUUCAGUAGGGAAGAAGCGAAAGUGACGGUACCUGCAGAAGAAACACCGGCGAACUACGU